This 1107-nucleotide small RNA is filed under the name Cryptococcus neoformans H99. Its description in RNAcentral is "Cryptococcus neoformans var. grubii H99 hypothetical RNA". Lineage: Eukaryota; Fungi; Basidiomycota; Tremellomycetes; Tremellales; Cryptococcaceae. The record is from RNAcentral.
UCACAAGUUACGGGGAUGAUUUAUUUCAAAUUUAACUUAAAUAUAUUCAUCUUUACCAUCAAAGUACUGUAUUCCACCCCUCUCUGCUCCUGUCCCAAGCCAGGAAUCCGCCGUUGCCUCGGGGCCUUCCCUAUGCGUCAGCGAUAUCUAUCCCAACUCCUGAUCCCCAUCUCUACAAAACCUCCUAGCACGCAUCCAGAAACAGCACGGGCCUGAAGAAAAACCGCAGAGGAGCUGGUGAACAUAGGACGCGUAACUCGUAAAAUGCGACGUCUGUCAUCGAGUCUGGAAGGGCCAAUGGGAUAUCACACUUCACAAGGCGAAACAAGGAUGUCAGGAAGCUUCCAUACGGGUUCGCUCCACAACUUCGGACCCAAGACGAACGUCGAUCCCCAGAGAGGCUCACACGGAGGAACUGGUGCUCAGUUGAGAAGUAGUGGCUGCUGGGAUAUGGGUCUAGAGAACAACAAACAUCCAAUUCGCUGAGUCAAUCAGGCCCUCUCGACCCCGUUCCCACACAACAGCGGCUACGCCGUACCUUCCAGAAGCCGCAUCCUCUGCUCGCCGGCCCCAGCGUCCUACACCAGCUCCCGUGACUCCCGCAGGCCAAGCACUCACCUGUCCAGUCAACCCUGUCCUCUCGCGCUCCGUAGUUUACUCCGUUCAGGUCCCAACUACGUGGCGCCCCCAGCCACCCCUAUUAGACGUCUUGAAAGCGUCGCACACACAUCCCGACAACCCCGAGAACAGGUGGCAGGCGACAGGGAGGAACACAGAGUAAGGAAAGGCGAAUUGGAUCUGGAUGCCUUAGCGGGCAAGAUUAGGUGGCUAGGAAAGAGUCGAGGAGAUGGAGAUGCAGCGCCUACAUAGUCACCCCAAGCAUGCAAUGGAAGAGUAGUUCCUCCACUUCCUACACCCCUUCCGCUUCCUCACCAGCUUCAAAGCCUUACCUCGAAGUACGCAGCGAGCCGUCAUAACCUGGUCGAACAACUCGUUGAUAGAAUUCACUCCCACUUCUCGGCAGCCAACCUCGCCAUCCUUCUCCAAAUCCCCAAGAGAGAAACUGUCCCCGCAUUUAACCAUCCCCAACUGAUAGCUUCACGCCUU